RNAcentral lists this ribosomal RNA (253 nucleotides) under uncultured bacterium. Its description in RNAcentral is "partial 16S ribosomal RNA". It matches the Rfam family "Bacterial small subunit ribosomal RNA", at positions 524 to 776 of the family's 1533-position model. The record is from RNAcentral.
UACGAAGGGGGCUAGCGUUGCUCGGAAUCACUGGGCGUAAAGCGCACGUAGGCGGAUCUUUAAGUCAGGGGUGAAAUCCUGGAGCUCAACUCCGGAACUGCCUUUGAUACUGGGGAUCUCGAGUCCGGGAGAGGUGAGUGGAACUGCGAGUGUAGAGGUGAAAUUCGUAGAUAUUCGCAAGAACACCAGUGGCGAAGGCGGCUCACUGGCCCGGUACUGACGCUGAGGUGCGAAAGCGUGGGGAGCAAACAGG